CAGUAGCCGCGGGAAUACGGAGGGAGCUAGCGUUGUUCGGAAUUACUGGGCGUAAAGCGCGCGUAGGCGGUUACUCAAGUCAGAGGUGAAAGCCCGGGGCUCAACCCCGGAACUGCCUUUGAAACUAGGUGACUAGAAUCUUGGAGAGGUCAGUGGAAUUCCGAGUGUAGAGGUGAAAUUCGUAGAUAUUCGGAAGAACACCAGUGGCGAAGGCGACUGACUGGACAAGUAUUGACGCUGAGGUGCGAAAGCGUGGGGAGCAAACAGGAUUAGAUACCCGCGUAGUCCCUGUCUCUUAUAC
Molecule: ribosomal RNA, 301 nt
Filed under: uncultured bacterium
Lineage: Bacteria
Description: partial 16S ribosomal RNA
Rfam family: Bacterial small subunit ribosomal RNA
Source: RNAcentral